CUGCGAGACCUACAAGUCGAGCAGGGUCGAAAGACGGACUUAGUGAUCCGGUGGUUCCGCAUGGAAGGGCCAUCGCUCAACGGAUAAAAGCUACCCCGGGGAUAACAGGCUUAUCUCCCCCAAGAGUUCACAUCGACGGGGAGGUUUGGCACCUCGAUGUCGGCUCGUCGCAUCCUGGGGCUGUAGUCGGUCCCAAGGGUUGGGCUGUUCGCCCAUUAAAGCGGUACGCGAGCUGGGUUUAGAACGUCGUGAGACAGUUCGGUCCCUAUCCGUCGUGGGCGUUGGAAGUUUGAGAGGAGCUGUCCUUAGUACGAGAGGACCGGGAUGGACACACCGCUGGUGUACCAGUUGUUCCGCCAGGAGCAUAGCUGGGUAGCUACGUGUGGCAGGGAUAAGUGCUGAAAGCAUCUAAGCAUGAAGCCCCCCUCAAGAUGAGACUUCCCAUCACUUC
RNAcentral lists this ribosomal RNA (451 nucleotides) under Glutamicibacter soli. Its description in RNAcentral is "partial 23S ribosomal RNA". It matches the Rfam family "Bacterial large subunit ribosomal RNA", at positions 2373 to 2823 of the family's 2925-position model. The record is from RNAcentral. Lineage: Bacteria; Bacillati; Actinomycetota; Actinomycetes; Micrococcales; Micrococcaceae.